AUUUGCUAGUAGCAUGAAUAUGUUAGAUAAAAAUUGAAGGAAAAAUUCUAGCAAUAUUUUGUUAUAAAUUUAUAAACUCUCUCUCUAAAUUUACAUGAGUUCUUACACCUAUUUAUAGAGCUGAUAUUAAAUACUGAACGGGAAUAUUAACUAAUCCUACACACGAAAAGACAAUGAAACUAGAUAGGAGUUGAUGUAAAUCCUAAACAAGAAAAUGCUAAAG
RNAcentral lists this unclassified non-coding RNA (223 nucleotides) under Hevea brasiliensis (rubber tree). Lineage: Eukaryota; Viridiplantae; Streptophyta; Magnoliopsida; Malpighiales; Euphorbiaceae. The record is from RNAcentral.